Glycine soja is the source of this 1018-nucleotide long non-coding RNA. RefSeq lists it as uncharacterized. NCBI's taxonomy places the organism in Eukaryota, Viridiplantae, Streptophyta, Magnoliopsida, Fabales, Fabaceae. The transcript has 3 exons. The record is from RefSeq and is a predicted model, not a curated record.
GUGGAAAUUUGGCAAUGUUCUUUAGUUUGUUUGGUGCCCAUGUCUCCACGAAAUUUCGUUCGGGGCCAUCUAUAUGCGAUGGAGCCAACUUGUAAGUGACACAUGUCAGGCAAAGAAUCUUAAGCCUCAAAUGUUAUUAUAUAAUAUAUAUAAAAUAAAAUUUGGGUGACUAGUCAAAUGAUUUUAGAUCAGCAAGGUAUUAGCAAUUAUUUUAGAGAUAAUAUGCAGUUGUUAUAUGUUAGACACGUGUGAUUAUAUAGGUUGCCCACCCUAGCUUCAACAGUAAAAUAAAAAAAAAUCAAUAGAAAGUGGAAAAUGGAAACAAAAAUUUAAAGUUGUUAGAUUGGUAUUGCCUUUGUGCUUAUCUAUUCUAGGCUAGCUGAAUUGUAUGUAAAAUGUACCAUAAGUAGCUUUUUGAGUUUGUUUCUAGUGCUACUGAUUCUAAAUCCAACAUUCUGAUAAAAACUUGCAUUUGCUUGGCAAAACUUCCAGGGUUGCCUCUGCUCUCCUGUGAAGGUUUAGUUACAGAAGUGCAACAAGUGUUCUCGAGAAUUUUGCUCUCCCAUUAACUAUAGAAGACAUAUACGCAUACAACAUCGAUUGAAAAAGCUUGAUAAGGAUUCUGAUAAAAAUAGGGAUCUUUUAGGGACAUAUUGAGAUAAGCUCUCCGUAGAAGAGGCAAAGGAAGUUGUGUCAUUCAAGAAUGUGAUGUUGGAGGUAAUAUCUCUUUUGCUCCUUAUGUGACUAGUUUAUUUCUAUAUGAAGUUAUGUUGAUGUGAUUUGCCUUACUCAAGUACUGGUUAGGUCAAUAUGUUAGACUAUAAUUGGUAGAAAUGAAAGUGGGGGCAGUUAAGUACAUUAGCCUCUACAUUCCAUUUCACACUCUCACUUCAAUUAAGAUAAGCUUUUGUUAGUUUUCUAUAUUAUAAGGUUUUGUAGAUACGAAAUCCUUUCAUAAAUGUGCUUUUAUGUUUAUGCUAUAGUUCUGUUUGUUGUAUUUGUGACUAUUAAAGUUCUU